Long non-coding RNA from Olea europaea var. sylvestris, 595 nucleotides. RefSeq lists it as uncharacterized. NCBI's taxonomy places the organism in Eukaryota, Viridiplantae, Streptophyta, Magnoliopsida, Lamiales, Oleaceae. The record is from RefSeq and is a predicted model, not a curated record. The transcript has 3 exons.
AAUAGCACCUUCUUCCUCAUUUUCGUCGCCAAUCUUAUUCCCUCACCAAAAAACACGCACAAACACACACUGAGAAGGGUUUUGCUUUCUGUAAGUUCUGACAGUUAAUGAAAAUGGCGAAUUCGCUGCAAGCAUCGACUCGGCCGUGAAUUCUGGAAGUCGUACCUCUUGCGGUCGUUAUUCUCGUUGUUGCCCAUGUCCUUGCUUUGGUUUACUGGAUUUACAAGCUAGCAACUGAGAAGCAGCCAACGAGAAGGAAAACGCACUAACCGAGUUCAUCAUUUUUUAGUAAUAAAAAGGGGAUCCCUUUUUGAAAUUAUUCAAUGAUAUGGAUUCAUGCAAUGCCAUACUGAAGGAGGUUACCAAAGUUAUCAUAUACCUUUUUGUUGCUGUGGUUACCUUUUGAGCUCCAUCACUGUUUUUUAGAGGGUUCAUGUAGAAUUUGUUGAUAAAUGUCAACCACAUGAUGUCUUCCUCAUAAUUUUCUUAAUGAUUAUAACAGUCCUGUGCUUGUUAACUCUCGAUGUGUAAUUCUACGUAAAACCAUUCUUUCUGAAGGGAUACUGGAAAAUGAAGUCCCAAUUUUAGCUGCUCA